UACGUAGGGUGCAAGCGUUGUCCGGAUUUAUUGGGCGUAAAGAGCUCGUAGGCGGUUUGAUAAGUCGGAUGUGAAACCCUCAGGCUUAACCUGGGGCCGCCAUUCGAUACUGUCAUGGCUAGAGUCCGGUAGGGGACCAUGGAAUUCCUGGUGUAGCGGUGAAAUGCGCAGAUAUCAGGAGGAACACCGGUGGCGAAGGCGGUGGUCUGGGCCGGAACUGACGCUGAGGAGCGAAAGCGUGGGGAGCGAACAGG
Molecule: ribosomal RNA, 254 nt
Filed under: uncultured bacterium
Lineage: Bacteria
Description: partial 16S ribosomal RNA
Rfam family: Bacterial small subunit ribosomal RNA
Source: RNAcentral